CCUACGGGAGGCAGCAGUAAGGAAUAUUGGUCAAUGGGCGGGAGCCUGAACCNNNCAUGCCGCGUGCAGGAGGACGGCCCUACGGGUUGUAAACUGCUUUUGCCAGGGGACAAACCCCCGCUCGCGAGCGGGGCUGAGGGUACCUGGAGAAUAAGGAUCGGCUAACUCCGUGCCAGCAGCCGCGGUAAU
This 189-nucleotide ribosomal RNA is filed under the name uncultured Bacteroidota bacterium. RNAcentral's name for it is "uncultured Bacteroidetes bacterium partial 16S rRNA". It matches the Rfam family "Bacterial small subunit ribosomal RNA", at positions 338 to 524 of the family's 1533-position model. The record is from RNAcentral. Lineage: Bacteria; Pseudomonadati; Bacteroidota.